Piliocolobus tephrosceles (Ugandan red Colobus) is the source of this 2538-nucleotide long non-coding RNA. The record is from Ensembl. Lineage: Eukaryota; Metazoa; Chordata; Mammalia; Primates; Cercopithecidae.
UCUCCUUACUAAACUGAUUCAUGUAAUAAAUAUCUUUCACUUUUUGCCAUUGUUAGUUUUACAGUCCUUAAUAUUGAUGUGUUUAAACUUAUUUUGCAGGUAUUCUUUAGGUGAUGCUAGAAGGCCUCUUCAUGAAACAGCAGUUUUGGUAGAAGAUGUGGUACACACCCAGUUAAUUAAUCUGAAUGAACAAAAGAACUUUUCCUCUGGAUGCUUGGGAUCUUCCCCAUUUUAUGUUGAGUCUACAGCCGUUGACAAUCAACUUAUUAAAGGCCUUCUCAGCAGCCACUCUGCAGACUGCCCUGUGGAAACCUGGAUGAAAGCACACUGCUCUCUCUGAACAACGGUAAUCAUCUGCAUCUCUCCAAACUGGUAGUGAUGAUGUCUUAGAUCUGUCUCAGAAAUGGUAUUACCCAGACUACCAAUAUAUAGUGAGGAUAACCUUGUCCUCUGAUGGGUCCAGAUGGGGCAUGAUUGAAGCCUACUUUAGAUGCUUAUCUGUUUCUGGAUCAUUGAUUCCAUCAUAUUUGUGUGUAAUAUUCUGAUUGGCAAGGGGAUCAUCUAGAUCUAUAGGCUUCUUAUGUCUGCAUGGAUAUUCCUCUCCUCUCUUACACUCUUUUUUCACCCAGAAGGAGCAAAGGUGGGGCUUCUCCUUUGGUAGGAGGGUGUGGUCCAAGCUGGAUUGAGUAGCAUGUCACUGGUCAGUGUGGCUUUUUCCCCAGCAGGCAAACUGGCCAUGUUCCAUCAGAGCUAGAAAUCCCUGUUUCUGAUAUUCUACAUGUAGAACUCUUUUUUUUGGCAUCUUACUUUGGCAGGUCACCUUCAGAAGACAAUUCUGCAUCAUUAACCUGGAUGGGCAGUCUGUGCUUUAGGUCUUAAGAUUUAGGCCUAACAGACAUGCUUCAAUUUAUUGCAGGUUUGGCACACUUCUGUCUUCUUGAAAUGCAUGUGGACCCCAGAGCACAAGCAAAACACUGAAUAAUCUGGCACAAAUUUUGCGUUCCUUCCUGCUUUUUUCUUUGGCUAUUUAAUAUGUAUAGAUUUCUGCAAGACAUUCCUGGCACAGAACAAGAAAGUCCGUCCUCUCCCAGUUUUGCUUGUUGUAAGGUUGGGAACCCAGAGAGAUCACCAUCUUUAGAGCAUCUGAAGGCAGUGGUAGUUAUUGAGGUGGAAGAGAGGACCGCCACAAUCCUAUCAGACCCAGCCCCAAAUUUCAUGAUUUUUCUGCAAGAAUAAUGAAAUGGAUGACCUUGCAGUCCAGUUUUUUCAUAAGUGUCUUUAUCCAGUAUGAAAUUAAUUUCCGUAUUAAUGAUAGGUCUUUCUAAGAAGGGAGUGAGUUUGGAGAGAAGAAGAUACAAGGGGAGACUUUCAGUUUAUAUAAACCUGUAUGUCUUUUUAUACAGUAUAUAUAUUUUUAUCAUUAGAGAUAGAAGAAACAUGAGUGUUGGUACUAUUGUGUAAAAGAACAGCAGUAUUACCUUCAUCAAUAUUUGCAUUUGCAUAGCAGGAACCUUUGGGGACCCAUUGUGGCUAUAGUCACUUGUAAUUGUGACAGUGGAUCUCUUUGAGAUGUCAGUGGCAUGACUUUGUGUGGCCACAGUUGAAUUUCUCACAAAUCAGCAAGUGGCUGGGAGCCUCUCACAGCCUGCAUAGGGCUCCCUUGUGCCAGCCCUUCUUAAGCUAGGUGGGAUGCCCCCCUUUAUCACACCUCUUUCCUCUGCCUUUGCUUCUGUGGCAGCUCAAGAAAUUGUGAGCCAUCAUCACUUCUCCUGGAGGGCAUGGACUUCUCUCUCUCAGAGUUUCUGGGAAGCCAGAAAACUUAUGGCUGGGCUUGACACUUGUGUCCUGUAGCAAACUUCCUGACUAAAGCGGUGGCUUUCAAUUAGCAUGGUCCAUGAAACACCAGUAUUCAAAAGAAUGUUCAGGGAUACCUCCUAUUUGAGGAAGAGAAGAAAGUGGGGCUCUGAGAUCCCGGCCCCAAAUUCAACCUGAACAGUUCCUUUUUGAUCAUUUGUGUAUUGUAGAUUUCUGUCAGUCAAAAAUAUUUGAAGUCCAUCUUUGGUCAGUAUUAUCUUUUCAUCAUUUCACUAUGUAUAGGAUAACAAGUUCCACAAGAUUGAUGCCUGAUAUAUAUUAUACUACCCUCUUUUUGUCCUACAGCAUUUUUUUUCAGGAUCAGUUAUGUCAGUCCUUUUGGCUCCUCAAAAUUUUGUUUUGAGACUAUGGACAAAUAUAUUUCUAGCUCUUAUCUCCUGAUAGAUAUAUAUCAGAAUAGAAUAUAAUGCCUCAAAGUAGGUCCAGCUGUGUUUUUGACAAGGCUUAUUAUGAUACACUUUCUUUAAAAAAAAAAAAAAAAAACCUCCCUUAGUCAAUACAGAUUUUUAUAGAAUAUCUACUGUUGAUAUUUUGUUGAAUAUCAACUGCCAAUGAUAAUGGGCAUGUUUUAGAUCAUUUUGGCAGUAGGUACAUAUUGUUUCAUUGGGGAAUACUACAGUAAGACUGGCAAUAAACUACAUUUAGAAGUUUUUACUGAAAUCA